CACAGUGUCUCUGGAAAUAUCAGCUGUAAUCCAUUUUGUUGAACUAUAUGGAAAGCCUCAUUCAAUAUUAGAUUCCCUAAUGUCUCUCCUUCAGGUUUUUGGCACAUGUGCCAGUGUUCAUCUUCAUGUUUACCUAAAUGGAACUACGGAUACCAGAAUGUGUAACUAUCUUGGAAACACCCAGGUUGGCUGAAAGGUCAAAGAUGCCAGAAAUAUCAUCCUCCUUCUGGAAGAAGCCUGGCCAAAUGAGAGAAAGAACCAGUUUUCUUCGAGUAAAAAUUACUGUAUCCAGUUUUCCAGGCCAGAAAAACAAAUAAAAUUGGGGGUAAAAAAUUUAAA
Long non-coding RNA from Chlorocebus sabaeus (green monkey), 339 nucleotides. RefSeq lists it as uncharacterized. The record is from RefSeq and is a predicted model, not a curated record. NCBI's taxonomy places the organism in Eukaryota, Metazoa, Chordata, Mammalia, Primates, Cercopithecidae.